RNAcentral lists this ribosomal RNA (233 nucleotides) under uncultured bacterium. RNAcentral describes it as "partial 16S ribosomal RNA". It matches the Rfam family "Bacterial small subunit ribosomal RNA", at positions 100 to 334 of the family's 1533-position model. The record is from RNAcentral.
CGGGACGGGUGAGUAAUGUCUGGGAAACGUGCCUGAUGAGGGGGAGUAACUACUGGAAACGGUAGCUAAUACCGCAUAACGUCGCAAGACCAAGAGGGGGACCUUCGGGCCUCUUGCCAUCGGAUGUGCCCAGAUGGGAUUAGCUAGUAGGUGGGGUAACGGCUCACCUAGGCGACGAUCCCUAGCUGGUCUGAGAGGAUGACCAGCCACACUGGAACUGAGACACGGUCCAG